GAACGAUGGAUUCUGAUUCAGACUCACCUUUUAACUACUCGUGGCCUGCCUUCCCCAAAAUGAAGAUCCGACGGAGGGCGUCCAGACAAGAUGUAAAAAUGGUUAUUGUUGGGAAUUAGAAGUUACAGAGAGUGAAGAGUUGAAAGUAAAAACCACCUGUGAUCCAUCAUCUGGAGAUAGCAGUUAACAUCUUGGUUUAACUUUCCAGUCCUUUCUCUUGAUUUUUUGUAUAUUGUGUGGUUAAAUAAAAUGAAAUCACACACUUA
This is a long non-coding RNA of Myotis davidii, 266 nucleotides long. RefSeq lists it as uncharacterized. The transcript has 2 exons. Lineage: Eukaryota; Metazoa; Chordata; Mammalia; Chiroptera; Vespertilionidae. The record is from RefSeq and is a predicted model, not a curated record.